Molecule: ribosomal RNA, 295 nt
Filed under: uncultured bacterium
Lineage: Bacteria
Description: partial 16S ribosomal RNA
Rfam family: Bacterial small subunit ribosomal RNA
Source: RNAcentral
GGUUACCUACGGGGCGCAGCAGUAAGGAAUUUUCGUCAAUGGGCGCAAGCCUGAACGAGCAAUGCCGCGUGAACGAGGAAGGUCUUCGGAUCGUAAAGUUCUGUUGAAGGGGAAAAAGAGCGGAGAGAGGAAAUGAACUCCGAUUGAUAUUACCCUUCGAGGAAGUCACGGCUAACUACGUGCCAGCAGCCGCGGUAAUACGUAGGUGGCGAGCGUUAUCCGGAAUGAUUGGGCGUAAAGGGUGCGUAGGCGGCCUGCUAAGUCUGGAGUGAAAGGUACCGGCUCAACCGGUACA